This 556-nucleotide small RNA is filed under the name Arabidopsis thaliana (thale cress). RNAcentral's name for it is "ATSL152170". Lineage: Eukaryota; Viridiplantae; Streptophyta; Magnoliopsida; Brassicales; Brassicaceae. The record is from RNAcentral.
GUUUUUUGAGUUAUGAGUCCAUGAGUUUGCUCAAUUUGAGCUUAAUACUGAAAACACGGUUCUGUAGAAUCGAAAAAACAAAUUCGGAUAAAGGAUAUAUCACAUAAUAUUUGUUUCGUUUUUCGUUGUUUUGUCGACGGAUCAUGGAAAGGAAAUGACAAGUUUUAUGGAUAAGAGUGAUUUUGCACCUUAUUAAAUAGGAAGUCGCUAACCAUGGGAGUUGCUAAUUUGCGUAGAAGUCUAUCUCCACUACAUAAAGAAGUCGAAGCUGUACUCUGGAUGAUGAAGUGUAUGAUUGGUGCCGACAACCAAAAAAUAACUUUUUUUACAGACUGUUCAGACUUGGUGAAGAUGGUGUUUUCUCCAACCGAAUGAUUAGCAUUUUCAAUAUAUGUGGAAGAGUUCUAGAGCGACAAGGAAAAAUUCACAAGUUUCCCUAUAUUUUUAAAUUCUCGAACUGCAAAUGUUAUAGCGGACAAUUUGAUAAGAAAAAUUCAUACUGAACCGUUACAUAUUACAUAUGGAAAUAAUUUAUUUAAAAAUUGGCUUUUCUAAC